ACUUUUUUAGUAUAAAUAAAUAUAUUUGACUUCCAAUCAAAAGAUCUUAAUAAAGAGAAAGUA
RNAcentral lists this transfer RNA (63 nucleotides) under Notobitus elongatus. Its description in RNAcentral is "tRNA-Gly". The record is from RNAcentral. Lineage: Eukaryota; Metazoa; Arthropoda; Insecta; Hemiptera; Coreidae.